GAUGAACGCUAGCUACAGGCUUAACACAUGCAAGUCGAGGGGCAGCAUUAUCGAAGCUUGCUUUGAUAGAUGGCGACCGGCGCACGGGUGAGUAACGCGUAUCCAACCUUCCCCAUAGUCAGGAAUAGCCCGGCGAAAGUCGAAUUAAUGCCUGAUGUUUUCCACGGACGGCAUCUGAUGUGGAACAAAGAUUCAUCGCUAUGGGAUGGGGAUGCGUCUGAUUAGCUUGUUGGCGGGGUAACGGCCCACCAAGGCAACGAUCAGUAGGGGUUCUGAGAGGAAGGUCCCCCCACAUUGGAACUGAGACACGGUCCAAACUCCUACGGGAGGCAGCAGUGAGGAAUAUUGGUCAAUGGGCGAGAGCCUGAACCAGCCAAGUAGCGUGCAGGACGACGGCCCUAUGGGUUGUAAACUGCUUUUAUAAGGGAAUAAAGUGGGUCUCGUGAGACUUUUUGCAUGUACCUUAUGAAUAAGGACCGGCUAAUUCCGUGCCAGCA
This 497-nucleotide ribosomal RNA is filed under the name uncultured bacterium. RNAcentral describes it as "bacterial SSU rRNA". It matches the Rfam family "Bacterial small subunit ribosomal RNA", at positions 28 to 513 of the family's 1533-position model. The record is from RNAcentral.